ACGGUGCGGUAAGAGCGCACCAGCGCGGCGGCAACGUCGGGGGUUGGCAAACCCCAUCUGGAGGAAGCGCAAAGAGGACCGCCAUCCGGUGGCCCGCCGGGCGCUGGGGUUGCGUGCGAGAGGCGGGGGGCGCCUCGCGUUCGAGAUAAAUGGCCGUCCCCGACAGAACCCGGCUUACAGGUCCGCUCGCCUC
This 193-nucleotide RNase P RNA is filed under the name Adlercreutzia sp. RNAcentral's name for it is "partial RNase P RNA component class A". It matches the Rfam family "Bacterial RNase P class A", at positions 159 to 367 of the family's 367-position model. From Rfam's summary of the family: Ribonuclease P (RNase P) is a ubiquitous endoribonuclease, found in archaea, bacteria and eukarya as well as chloroplasts and mitochondria. Lineage: Bacteria; Bacillati; Actinomycetota; Coriobacteriia; Eggerthellales; Eggerthellaceae. The record is from RNAcentral.